Molecule: long non-coding RNA, 2585 nt
Organism: Equus caballus (horse)
Lineage: Eukaryota; Metazoa; Chordata; Mammalia; Perissodactyla; Equidae
Source: Ensembl
GCCAAGGGGGCGGGCAUGCGCUGUUGUUCAACUCAUUGGCCAGAGCAGUGUCACAUGACUGCCUGCAGAGGGGCGGGAAAUGUCAUGUUUCCAUCUCAUUGGCCAGAGCGGCUUCACCUGACUGCAGACAGAGGGCUGUGAUGUUUUUAAGUAGAAGCAUUGUUGUCCUUGACAAAGUAGAGGCCGUGUUAACAAAAGAGAAAAGGAAGGAUACCAUCUAUCAGAAGUUACCUCAGCAAUUUAAUAACAGCUUCUGAGGGGGAAAGAAAACAGAAAGAAGGAUGAAAUUAAAUGUCUAGAUCAAUUGAAAGAAGCAUCUUCUUUUGGACAGUUUGAAAUGUAUGCCCCAGAAUUGAAGAAAUGCAAUAUUAAUAUCAAAAGGCGGUUUCUAGAUUUCGGAUUCCUGGAAACGCUCCCAGGAACCGCCAAAGAGGAAGAGCAGAAGCAGCGCUGUUCCCGCGAACAGAGUAGAGUUCUAUUCUGCUACCAACUGGCCGAGGGACGCGGGGACGUCCCCUGCUCACUGUCUUCAGUUUUCUGUGGGACAAUGAGCCUCAGGCCUCCUAGCCCUGACUCUGGCAGAAGAGCAAAUUCCUUGGCCUGACCCAGCGGCACGUGCGGGCUCCUGGGGAGGGGCGUGGCCGACCCGGCCUCCCCCAGUGACCUGCACCUCCCCUCAGGCCCAGAGUGAAGAGCAGGGCAGCGGAGGCCACACUGCCAGGACCCUGGGCCUCGGGACGCAGCAGGCCGGGUUCCCAGCCUCCUCCCUGUGCGUUUGCUGGAGUCCUGUACCCACUCUUGGCGCCAGCCUGUCCCCAUCUCUGCCCUCCCCGCCCUGCCAUCCUAGACUGGCUCCCAGGAUGCCUGGAAGGCAGACUCUGGCAGCCUGUGAGUGGGUGGGAGGGAGGGCAGGACCCCAGAGGAGAAGGGAGAAGAAAUCAUGGGCUCCAAGUGGGUGCAUUUACUCCCAUCUGCUCCAGGUUAUCUUUAAAUAGGAUAAAAUUACCCUCUCAGCUCCUUUAUCUCCAUGCAGUACUUCUAAAAAAAGAGCAUCUUGACAUUUUAGGAGGAAAAAAAUAAGGAGAAGAUGAGACAUGUAAUAUCCAGUGUAUACUGAGGAUGGAGAAAUUUCAAUGAACUCAUAGUCAAACCUCCUUAAUGUCUUGAAAAAGAAAACCACACCGGGGUCUGAUGUCGGGAGGGGAGGAGAGUAUUCCAGGAGGAAAGCCCGGCUCCGAGGUAGAAAGAAGGCUGUGGGGAGGGGGUGGGGCAGGUUGGUCCCCUGGAGCUGGGGUCUGAGACAGGCCGUUGGGGUUUGGGGGGCUGAUGCAAGAACUCUGGGACUCAAGCGCCCCAGGACUCUGCACUCACUACCCACCCCCCCCCCCCCACUUGCUUUCUACCCCUUUGCAAACUGGCUCCUGGCCCCCCUGCUAGUGAGACUCUCUCCAUGGUAAGGCCUCACCAGCAAGUCCUUGCCUUGGCUGUCAGCUCCCGCCCUCUCCCCACGCCCACCCUCUCCCUGGUCAGCCAGGACCCUGUGCUCCCUGGUGGCCCUCUUCUGUCCACUCUGUUUCUGCUCUUCACUGCUCCUUCUCUGAAGAUGCCCCCAAGCUGUGUUCCCUAGUCCCUUCUCCUUGACCUGCUAACAGACCUGGGACUCAGGGACAUGGGAAGGAGACUUCGGUCAAGGUCACAGCAACAGGCACUAGAAGCAGCAAAUGGCUUCAGUAGAUACAAUAUUGCUAAUUGGAAACAACGAGAAUGACUUUAUACCCUGUAUCUUUUUGAAAUCUCUACGCUCUAAGGAUUAUUUGUAUCCUACGAGAGGCCCAAAGAUGGUCCAAAGAAAAUAACACUGUCCACAAACUACUGGAGCGCCUGCCUGAGAACCGCAGGACUCAGGAUCGUCAGCCUCCCGGGACGCGGUGGCGGGAUGACGGAGUUCUCCUCCAGGUCCCCCGAGAAUGCUGUCCUCGCCCCGCAGGCGUCUUCGCUGCAGGCUGAGUAGGACUCUGAGAUGGUCUUGUGCACGCUGAGCCCAACUGCUGGUCCGUGUCGACUGCAACCUGACUGACAGAGACCAAUAAAAAUAAUAUGACCCUUUCCUUUUGAAAUGUCCUCUAAUAACUCCAUUAGUUUCGCAGCCAAACCAAGGCAUGGAAAUUCCAGAACAACAGAGAAGUUUGUGCCACUCCCCCCCAGCUAUGGGGACUGUUCUCCCAAUCACAUAACUCGUAACCUCACCAAGGGCCUCUGUAGCCGUGAAAUGCUCUGGCCAGUGGGUGAGGGGCUGUAGGUGGACAGUGUCUGUGGGCAGACCAAGCUAAUGUUGUUGGAGCGGAGCAGGUCACCGCAGGGGAGGGCCCUGGGAGUGGUCACCAUGCUACAGCCACCGCUGCAGCCCAGCGUGACCUGGACAGCCCUGCUGGAAGUCGUGCUGUGCCCGGUCCCUGCAGGGCCGGCCGAGGAACGUCUAUAUUCAUUUCUUGAACUUCGUUCUGUUCCAUUUUCAUUCAAAUGACUUCCUGAAACCGAUUUUCUGGGCCCCUGGUGGCAUUUCCAUUCAUGCUUGCUCACUUUUA